CCUACGGGGGGCUGCAGUGGGGAAUAUUGGACAAUGGGGGGAACCCUGAUCCAGCCAUGCCGCGUGUGUGAAGAAGGCCCUCGGGUUGUAAAGCACUUUCAGUGAGGAAGAACGCCUGGUGGUUAAUACCCAUCAGGAAAGACAUCACUCACAGAAGAAGCACCGGCUAACUCCGUGCCAGCAGCCGCGGUAAUACGGGGGGUGCGAGCGUUAAUCGGAAUUACUGGGCGUAAAGCGCGCGUAGGUGGCUUGAUAAGCCGGUUGUGAAAGCCCCGGGCUCAACCUGGGAACGGCAUCCGGAACUGUCAAGCUAGAGUGCAGGAGAGGAAGGUAGAAUUCCCGGUGUAGCGGUGAAAUGCGUAGCGAUCGGGAGGAAUACCAGUGGCGAAGGCGGCCUUCUGGACUGACACUGACACUGAGGUGCGAAAGCGUGGGUAGCAAACAGGAUUAGAUACCCCAGUAGUC
Molecule: ribosomal RNA, 465 nt
Filed under: Vreelandella stevensii
Lineage: Bacteria; Pseudomonadati; Pseudomonadota; Gammaproteobacteria; Oceanospirillales; Halomonadaceae
Description: partial 16S ribosomal RNA
Rfam family: Bacterial small subunit ribosomal RNA
Source: RNAcentral